CAUUCUCCGGCGGUUUCCGACGGGUCCCGACCAGUCCGUGGUUGUGAGCAACUUUUGCAAAGCCGUGAUUCUGGGGGUGUUGUACUCCAUAACCAUAGGAGGGAUGAGCACUCUAACGGGGACCGAUGUCAAUCUCAUAUUGGUUGGAAUGUGGAAGACCUAUUUCCCACAAGCAGCUCCGAUCACCUUCAGCACUUGGUUCUGUUUCGCCUUCCCUUUGGCAUUGUUGAUGUUCUUGGCUUUGCGGGGUUUGCUUUGCUGCUUGUAUUGCUCAAGGAGUUCAGGCCAGGCUCUCUCUGUUUAUUUAGACAAAGCCCAUUUGAAGGAGGAGCUCGAAUUGCUAGGUAGGAUCUCUCAAACCUAGAGCAACUUACAUGCAUUCAACAUCGAAUUGUGGUGUAUCCUAAAUCAAUCAUGCAUUAUCGUGUGUGAAAUUUUUAACGACUAAAACUGCUUCUAAAUAAAUUAGGCAAAAAAAGUUCAAACGUGUCUUUGAGGGAGUAGGACUUUUAAUAAAAAAUCAACUUGUUUAUAAUGAAAGUACUGAUAUUAAAGAGUUAAUGAGAAAAAGUGUUUCUUACAAAAGUAAUUUUGAAAAAACCAUUCUUUUUUAUAGCAAUUGUUGUGGAUACCCCAAAUGCCAUAAUAAAAUAGUUAACACAUGGUAUCACCGUAUUGGUCAUUUUUUUUUAGCUUCUGGCCCAAUGUUCAAUAUCCAAUCUUAGGGACUAGAGAACACCUUCUGUGUAAAUGUAUUUCCAAAUCAACUUACAAUUGUUGAUGCGGCAACCGGCAGGUCCAAUGGAUUUUGCUGAGAAGAUGGUACUGGCUUUGUUUUCGGUGCGUCCCCAAGUACUCAGUUUCGCAUAGUUUUUUAGUAUGGAUGUGUCCUCCAGUUAUUAUGACUAGCAUUUUCUGCAGAUGCUGAUUGUUUUGUGGAUGACAAGAAGCAUAACGGAGGAUAUUCCGGGCUGGGGAGUCCUCUUCAACGGGCAUGCCGGAGAUGGAACUGUCAGUGUGAGUAUUGACAUUUCUUCUUAUGUGUUCUAACUUUAAACACGAAAUAGCCUUAUAAACAGACCUUUCGUUGGAUCAAAUUUUCAAGUGUGACUUAAAAAUGUUUGUAGGUUAUGAUUGCAACUUUUUUGUUCACAAUUCCAAGCAAAAAGCAAAAAGGUGAGAAGUUGAUGGACUGGGAAAAAUGUGAGAAGCUACCCUGGAAUAUCAUAUUGUUACUAGGUGCUGGUUUAGCCAUAACUGACGGAGUUCGAUCCAGUGGCCUUGCUAAUAUAUUACCUGAAACCCUAGAUUUUUUGGAGGCAGUCCCAUAUGUUGCCCUUGCACCUGCUGUGUGUCUCAUAAGUAGUUCCAUCACUGAGUUGAUCAUAUCAAACAAUGCAACAACCACGCUUAUUAUUCCUCUCCUAAUUCAAAUUGCCAAACGAAUGCAUGUGCAUCCUCUCCUUCUGAUGAUUCCGGGUGGCAUUGGGGCACAAUUUGCUUUCUUGCUUCCUACGGCAACUCCUUCAAAUACUGUAGGAUUAGCCACUGGCCACAUUGAGAUCCAAGAUAUGAUCAAGAUUGGCUUGCCAUUGAAGAUUGUUGGGAUUGCUGUGUUGUCCCUUUUGAUGCCCACUCUUGGUAACAUUCCUUUUCUCUUCAUUAUUUAGCUCACUUCAAUUUUGAUCAAUUUUCAUCUUCACUAGUUAUACGUGAUGUUGUAGUUCAUAAGUAACUAUUGAGUUUUGGCUAUUGCAGGAGCUUUUGUAUUUAGGACAAGUGAACCAGUUCGGUGACUGAAAGUUCAAUAAUGUUACGAUGUCUCACAAAAUCGCAAGACAUAACAAAAAGUUGAACAUGUUUCGUUAGAGAUAGUCUUAUGAUCUCAUUCAUCUGUGAAUCUACCUGUGAUUGUGAGAUACCUAUAUGAAUUCGAAGCACGAUUUUUAAUUUACAUUUCAUAUAUGAUGUCCGUGAUGAUCAACCUUACAAAUAUGUGUGAUUAUGUACAUCAAAUCAAAUUAACUUUAAACCAAACAAAUAAAUAAAGUACAACUAAUGCAUAUAAAUUUUUGCUUAUUAUACAAGAUCACACCAUUACAUCAUCUCUAAUAAACUAACAUUACAUCCCAAGAAAAUUUAAGUUUUAACAGCACACCACAAUAUAUAUCGCACAUAAAGUUUAAGGCUAGAGUAACCAAGAUAAAUCAAUGAUCAGAGGCUUCCAUGGAGAUGGUGAUUUUCUGGGCUGUUAUUGAUCGCUACUCAUGAUCAAUUUUGCUUUCUCCGAACUCCUUGCUCUUCAACCUCGCGAGGAAGAUUUUUGAACUUUGAACAAUGGCUAAUCUCCAUGUAGCGGAGUGCAGGCAUAAUUUUCCUCACAAAUUCCACAUAGCAAGGGGGUUUAUGCUUCAUGGGAAUGUUUUCAUGCUUCAUGGUUGUUUCAAAUAUCUUACUUUACUUUAAACGUAUCUGAUUGGCAGAAAACAACAAAAGUCUUUGAAUUUGUAAAAGAUUCAUCUCUGAAAGCCGGAAUUGCAUCUCCAAUACGUUGUAUCACGUUCAACACAUAAAAAUUAAAUUGAAUAAAUAGCAUGUAGAUCAAUUCAAUAAAAUAAUAAAUUAAACAUAAAAGAAUGAUUAAAACGUAAUACUCUCCUGAUUAAAAAUCAAAAUCUCUUUAGCGCAGAGUCAAGAGCGUGUUGAUAACAUGUUGUAGGCACAAUUUGCUGAACAAUUAUGGAGGCCAGAGAGACGGGUGCGGCAUAGAGAGAGAAGAGAUAUAUAUGUAAUUGUGAGGUGCGUUAUAUUCUACUUCAUUGUGCCUUUAUUUAUAGCAGUAGGGAAUAUUAAUUCCUUAUCCCAAUAGGAUUACAACUCUAAUAGGAUAAUAUUUAGUCUAAGAGAUAUGGUAGAAUCCCAUAAGAUAUCCUAGAUAUGUUAGGAUUUACACAAUCACACUACUCACAAUAUAUCUUCUAUACAUCAAAUACAUUUCCUUGGCUCCAUUUUAUGAUGUCCAUUUCUUCAUUUCUUUGACUCCAAGAUAUCCAUCCUCAGUUACUCCUUCGUUUCCUCAUAGCUACCAAUGUACUCGCCGGCAAUCGUCCACAAAAUACCUAUGCAUUCCUUUACUUGCAUUGUGGCGGGACCAACCAGAGACCCUAGCAUGUGCCAAUCGACCUAACGUCCUCUAAUGAUGCUAACCAAUCGAUGGUUGGUCUGAUGGUAUCACUAAGAGGAUGUCAGGAAGGGACAUGCUAGGCUCUCUUGUUCGCCUUCGCACGGUGCAAGUAAGUUCAAGGAAUGCAAAGGUUCUGUGGCGACUACUUUGGUACCUAUGAGAAAAUGAGGGAGGAGCUGAUGAUGAUAACUUUCAGAUCGACGAAAAAUUCACAAAUUCGCGCAACGGGUCAAACUUUGUAAAGUUUUAGUUAUGAAUAGAAUAAUGGGCCUCCAAAUUUGUAGUGAAACGGGCCUGAUUAAAUUCGUAUGUUGGGCGUACAAAAGUAAAGCCCUAUUUUUUUAUAAGAAUUUUAACGAAAAACUUUCGGUACUGUUCACUUUAAUGAAAAACCAUAUUUUUACACUAAAAAGUCAAUCAUGAUACUAUUCACUUUACCUUUUAUUUUGUCCUUAUCGUUAAAACUCAAAGUUUUCAAACCAUUUUCAUUAGUUUCCAUUUUUUUUAACCUAAAUAAAAUCAGUCUUCCCAGCCAACGCGUGCAACUUGCUUCCAUAUUCUUACACCUCUACGCUUCUCCUCACUCCAGUCCAUCUUCUCCAUCCGACUUCGACGAAUUACAUAAAAUUUUGUGAUUGCGUACCAGCAUAAGAAUCUUCGGAUAUUUACGAUUUCUGAGUUGAGGCUGCCCAUCGGCAUCCAAUGCAACAGGUGUACACAGUGGCGGAGCCAGGAAUCUUACCACAAGGGGUCAUAGUGUAAAAGUCCAAAAAAAAAUUUAGGAUGGAAAAACAUGUUGAAAAUGAAAUCAUAGUACUUUCAUUCAUAAUUCAUAACGGAAACAAUAUUACAAGCUAUAAUUGUCCACGACGAGGUUUCAUAUUUUGAAAACGAAGCAUUAUAGCUUCAUUUUCAAUACAAGCAAAAAUAUCUCUCUCAAUAUAAACAAGCAAGCUAUCACUCAACCAUUGAUCUCCCAUUUUGUUCCUAAGUGGACCCUUAACAAUAUUCAUGACAGAAAAUGCUCUCUCCACUGAAGCAGUUGCAACUGGUAAAACUAAAGACAAUGUAAUGAGCAAAUAUACAUAAUUGAAUACUUGAUGCAUCCUUGUCUCCACCAUUUUUUUUGCAAGAUCACCAAUCCCUUUCAAUUGAGAGAAAUCACUACUGGAACGCACAUAAUGAAUAUAAAUCUCAAGUUGAUCUUCAAGUGCCAAACGAUCCUCAUCCGAAAAGUCUUGAGGAUAAAAUUGAGCAAGACGAAGUAACUUUGGUUUAUCAAAAGCUACAAAUGAAUCUUUCGGACUCAAACAUGCCAAACAAAUAAGCAACUCGGUAUUUACCUCAUUAAAGCGAUCCUCUAACUCCGUAAUUUGCUCAUCAAUGACAUAAAUAAAGAGCUCCACACGAUAAUAAUGACGAUUUGUCUUUAUUGGAGCAUUACGCCUUGACCUUCCUGGAAGUAUAAAUGCCUCUUCCAUGUUAGGAACAUCAAUAUAAUGUUUUUCACAAAAAGAAGAUACUUCAUCAACCAAUGCAUCGAACCCAUUAUUCCUCAUCCAAUGUAGCUUUUCCUUGCAUGAUUUCACUUGUUUAUACCAUAUUUAGGGUCUCGUAUUUAGACCUCGUAUAAAUACUCGAGAGACUUAAAUGUGAUUAUGUAAUAAAGGAAGGGGCAAAUAUGUAAUUAGGGGAGGAGCCCUUAUUCUAUAAAAGGGUAUCCUCACCCUCACAAACCCUAAGCCUCCUCACCCCUCUCAAAGCUCUCACUCACAGAGCUCUUUCUCUCCCUCACUUCUCAGAGAAAUAUAAUACAAUCAGUGUGGACGUAGCCCAAACCUUGGGGUGAACAACGAUAACUCUUGUGUCAUUUACAUUUUAUGCAGAUUCACGGUCGGAUUUACGUUGUACCAAGACCAUCCGGUUUUGUGCAUCAACAUUUGGCGCCGUCUGUGGGAAUCGAUACGAAAAGUUAUGUCGGUUCUUUCUCAAUUUUUUCACCUCCACCGUGAAUUUGCAAAUUCUGCAAAAACCCAGGAAACCAAGAACACCACUCUCUCUAAAAAUCCUAAGAUUCUCUCUCUAAGCCGCUACAUUUAUAGCUGCGUUAUUCACCCUCCCUUUUUUUUUUCUGGGUCUCUGUAAUUUCCACUGCAGAGUAAAACCCAGAUUUUUGGUUCUCAGAUCCAAGCUUUGGAACAGUGGUGGUCGAGUUUCAGUGUUCUCCCAGGGGAGGACCACUUGGUGUUCUCCUGUUGCUUCCUCCUCCAACUGAGACUCAUAGGCAGGAGCAAACGCUGAGCUUUUCUAACAACAAAUCAGAAGUCAGUUUUCUCAACAAAGAUGGAGACUUUGCCUACUACCAGAAGGAUACCACUCCCAUUUUCUCUCCUUACCCAAGGAAUGCAGGCCUACCAGGUUAUGGAAGCUUGAAUCUGAGCAUACAUGGGCCUUUGACUGGGCUAGAUGACCAUUCACUCAUUCUCAAUGGAUUGAGCUGGAGCACCAGGCCUCGAUAUACAAGUACAUGACUUCAAAUGUGCCUGUCCCUUCCAAUCUGCUCGUACCUCUCAAGAAACCCCCAAAUUCUGUGUAAUUUCAGCAACCCAUAAACAAAUUACUUUAAUGGCUUCCAAUGGGAAAUAUGGCUCUCACCUUUGCACUAUUUCUGAGCCAUCCCUGCCCGAGUCCCACGGCCAGCAGCAUACCCAAUACCCCCAUGGUUAUGGGCAGCCCUAACAACAACAUAAUCUGCCGUAUUUCUCUCCCCAGUACUCCCAUUGUCACGGGAAACCGUAACAUCAGCCAUAUGGGUCAUCUUUUUGCUUCGUCUACUUCAUAUGGGCAGUCGGGUUUUCCCGCAGGGACCGACCCGGCUGUGAUUAGAAGCUCUGAGAUGGUGGACAGGGACAUCGGCGGGUACAUCAACAAGCACGAUGACAUUUGGCUACAGUAGAGAUGAUGUGGGCAAGUUUCUACCUAUCUACCUUGCGGAAGGCCUUCUUCAAAGCGAUCCAUUUGAGGUCCUUGAUCAAAGAGGUGUUGGCCAGCUCAUCAAGAUGGCCACAGAAAAGGGUCGCGCAGCUAGGCCUAGCUUAAAGGUAACUGGAAAUGCAUAGAUUGGGAACAUACCAUAACAAAUUGGGAUGUCAAUUUAUAUUGAUGGCGUGUCAUAUACAGUCACAAGUGUACCAGAGGUUUAACCUCAGGACCAUUCGCCUGCCCAGUUUUUCUCUUCAAAAGUCCUACGGAUUCUCUUAGAGUUGGAACCGUCAAUUCUACCGUCGAUCCUCGCCGCGGAGGUCAGCUCGGGAAGGUUGAGCUGGCUCAAAAAACUACAUUGAUCAACCAUCCAGCACCCUCUCGUCCCGGGACAUGUCAUUUCGUAGUUCUGGAAGAUUUUACAGUGGAAGUUGCUGCCAGAGUAAGGGGUCAAUCGCCGGGGAUUCGAGCUUGGAAACAAGGCGCGUCGAAGAAGAGAUAUCCGAGAUGUUUCAGUGGCUUACAGGGGUAUGAUUGGUAAAUUCAAUAAAAGGACUGCAUCAGACAGGGAUGGGGAACAUGGGUGGGCAGAGAAGGAGUGGAGAGAUCAGAAAAAACAUGUGGGUGGUGUUGAAAAGACUGUCCAAACAGCUGUAGGAAUAUCGCCCUUAAUCAUGUAAUCAAGCGACAUAUCCAAAGCAGUUGUUCAUGGAAAAAAGCCGAGAUAGAGAAGCAAAAGCAAAUCAGAAAGAAAAAGAGAAAAGCAGUGGGAAACAGAAACAAAAGCAAAAGGAAAAACAGAAAAUGAAAAGAGAAAAGCAAAAGAUUUUUCUAUUAUUAUGAUUCUUUAUGUCUGCCAGAGACAGAGAGAGUGCAGAAGAAAAAUACUGCAAAAGUAAGGAAUAAACACCCCACCAGAAUGAUGUAAUUUAGUUUCCUUAUCUUUCGGAAACAUAUGUAUAAACCCCAUCAGAGGGUAAAGCCCAAAAUAAAUGGGCUGGAAUGUUGCGUGGAGGGCAAAGGCCCAUAAGCCCAAAAUAGCACCAACCCGGUGACUAAAAUUACAUCCAGUACUAAAAAAAUUAUUCGGCACCCUGCCGCUACUACCACCAACCAGGUGAUCAAAAGUACACCCAGUACUCCAAAAUUAUUCGGCAACUUACCGCUAUUACCACCAACUAGGUGAUGAAAUGUAUAACCCGUACUCUAAUAUCAUUUGACAACUAGCCAUUCAUGCCACCAAUUAAGUGAUGAAAUGUACAACCCGUACUCUAAUAUCAUUUGGCAACUAGCCAUUCAUGCCACCAACCAGGUGAUGAAAUGUACAACCCAUACUCUCCUUCAUGCCACCAACCAGGUGAUCAAAAGUACGCCUAGUACUCCAAAUUAUACAUGAGCAUUACUCAUGUCAUUCAUACAUAAACAUUCAUGAGCAUCACUCAUGACAAUCAUGCAUAAACAUUCAUGACCAUCAUUCAUGUCAACAUUUAUGAGCAUAACUCAUGUUAACAUUCAUGAGCAUCACUCAUGACAACAUCCAUGAGCAUCACUCAUAUCAAUCAACAUAAACAUUCAUGAGCAUCACUCAUGUCAAUCAGCUUCAAAAGCUUCAUUUACAAAAGCUCCAGCUUCGAAAGCUUCAUUUACAGAGCUCUAGCUUCAAAGCUUCACUUGCAAAGCUUUACCUACAAAGCUUCAGUGCAGGGUAUACAAAUACCGCCUCCGAACAACCGCCACUUCGGCCCAUACAUGGAUUCAAUUUGAAGUCUCCAGCCAACAGACUCUAUUGACCGAAGACUUGGGGGACUACAUUAUGUACCAUAUAUUGGGCCUCAACUGGGCCUCAUGAAAAAUACUUGGGGGACUCUAGCCCAUUAUUUAUGUAUUAAGGAGCGAGCCCUUAUUCUAUAAAAGGGACUCCCUCACUUUCAUUAAAAGAUCACCCAUGAUUUAUGUAUUGAGGAGCGAGCCCUUAUUCUAUAAAAGGGACUCCCUCACCAUCAUUAGAGAGCAACGCCACCAGCUGAGCAACCGCCUCGCCGCGAGCAUCACUCAUAACCCAUCAUUUAUGUAUUAAGGAGCGAGCCCUUAUUCUAUAAAAUGGAUUCCCUCACCUUUAAACGCCGCAAGCCGAGCCAACCAAGGCAACAUAAGCCACGAGCCGAGCAGCCUCACAGCGUGUGCUACUUCUAGUUGAGCGUCAUUUCAGAUUGAGCACUGCCUCAUAUCGAGCAUCAGUUCAAGACAACAUCUAGUUACUUCGGCCCACACAUGGACUGAAUUUCAAGUCUCCAGCCAAAAGACUCUCUUGACUGAAGACUUGGGGGACUACUGUUGAUACCAUAUUUAGGGCCUCGUAUUUAGACCUCGUAUAAAUACUCGAGAGACUUAAAUGUGAUUAUGUAAUAAAGGAAGGGGCAAAUAUGUAAUUAGGGGAGGAGCCCUUAUUCUAUAAAAGGGCAUCCUCACCCUCACAAACCCUAAGCCUCCUCACCCCUCUCAAAGCUCUCACUCAUAGAGCUCUUUCUCUCCCUCACUUCUCAGAGAAAUAUAAUACAAUCAGUGUGGACGUAGCCCAAACCUUGGGGUGAACCACGAUAACUCUUGUGUCAUUUACAUUUUAUGCAGAUUCACGGUCGGAUUUAUGUUGUACCAAGACCAUCCGGUUUUGUGCAUCAACAUCACUAAAGCCAUUGCAUUCACAAUUUCUUGAUCUUUCAUUUGCAAUGCUUGUGACAAAUCAUUUGUGAGUCCCAAUAUGACUUUCAUCAAGAAAAGGUGAAACACAAACUCAAAAGUACGUAUAUCUCUCAUUAACUUAUUUGCUUCACCCGCACUUUCAUUGGGAUUAUCAUCAAUAACCAUUUGAAGCACAUGAACCACGGAUGAAAACAUGGAAAUGAUGCUAAUCAAGGUACCAUAGUGUGAGUUCCAUCGUGUGUCACCGGCACGUUUGAGACUUGUUUCUUGAUUUAAGCCUCGCCCCGUUAUAAGACAAUCAUUUUCAAAAGCUAUCACAAGCUCUUCUUGAAGUUGCUCUCUAAGUAAAUCACGCCGCUUACAAGAUGCUCCAACAUGAUUAACCACACUAUUAGCCGUUGCAAAAAAAUAGGCAAUGUCUAUAUUCUUCUUUGCUACGGCAACAAGAGCUAGUUGAAGUUGAUGAGCAAAGCAAUGAACAUAAUAUGCACAAGGUUGUUCUUUCAAUAUCUUUGUUUUAAGGCCAUUCAACUCACCUCUCAUAUUGCUAGCACCAUCAUAACCUUGUCCUCGUAGCUUGGAAAUUCUCAAACCGUAGCGAGAAAAUAAUGUGUCAAUAACAUCCUUUAGUGAACUUGAAGUAGUGUUGGUAACAUGUUGGAUACCCACAAAUCUUUCAAUUACAUGCCCGUUGUCAUCCACAUAACGCAACACCAUAGCCAUUUGCUCUUUCACCGACACAUCACGUGCUUCAUCCACCAAUAUUGAAAAGAAUCUAUCUUUUAGACCAUCCAUGAUAGCAUCAAGUGUUUCAAGGGCACAUGAAUUCACAAUUUCUUUUUGAAUGCUAGGAGCUACUAAUCUGAGAUUCCCCGGAGCAUUUGCCAUCACAACUUCUCUAACUUUAUCAUUAUUAUCUGCAAGGAAUUGCAAUAGCUCCAAGUAAUUUCCCCUAUUGCUUGAAGUGGCACUUUCAUCAUGGCCACGAAAAGGAAGACCUUGUCGCAAUAAAAACUUAGUGCACUUGAUUGAUGCAUUCAAGCAUGUGCGAUAAGCCUUACGAGCUUGGUCAGAGUGUUUGCUCACUGCCGUUUCAAUAUGUGUAGAUUGAUUCAUCAAAUUUGUAGCAGCUUCUCUAGCCUUAUUAUGAACACUCCCAACCGGUCCAAUAUGCAUCUUAAAUCUUUCUCUCCCUUUCUUCCAAGUCUUAAAUCCAUCUCCAGUGAAAGCUUCACUACCCACUUGUGCAAAUUUGGUUUUAAAGAGAUAGCAAUAGAGACAAAAUGCCGCAUCUUUAGAUAUACUAUACUCCAACCAAUCAAACUCAUCAAACCAUUGGGGAAUGAAGCGUCGAUUAAUUCCCGACAUAUUAGUUAUUGGGAAAUUAUGACCUCUAGGUUGACAAGGUCCUUUUUGUAGAUAUGAUCUUCGGACCUCAUCUCUCAUAUUAGCAUCAUAAUCUAUUAUUCGAGUUCUCAAUCCAGGAUCCGCUUCAAGAUUACCCAAAACAUCAUCUAACUGACUUUGCCUUGAACUUGGAGUUCUUGAACUACCAACAGUAUUUGAACUAUCAACAUUAUUCGAACUACCCGAACCCGAUGAUGACUUUCUCUUAAAAAACCGUUCCAUAAUAAUUCUACAUAUACAAAAUAAUGAAAAUAAAUACUCACAAUAUAAACAAACCAUCAACAUAAUCAAAAUAAAUAUGAAUUGGAUUUCAAUUAAAUUAAAUAUCUCAUCUUGCAUUCUACAUAUACAAAAUAAUGAAAAUAAAAACUCACAAUAUAAACAAACCAUCAAUAUAAUCAAAAUAAAUAUGAAUUGAAUUUCAAUUAAAUUAAAUAUAUUCUACAUAUACAAAAUAUUCAAAAUAAAUACUCACAAUAUAAACAAACCAUCAACAUAAUCAAAAUAGGGAAAAUUAGGUUCACAUCCUUCUUUUUGUUACUUCAUUGAUUAAAAUCCUAUUCAUUUUCAAUUUUUGAUCAAGGUCCUUGGUAUUAAUAACAUCAUUAAUUAUUUGAAUAAUAAAAUAUUUUUAUUUUUAAAUAUAUUCCUGUAGUGUUAAAAAUGUUACAAUUAGUAUAUUUAUAUUUAUGGCUAAAAUUUUUAUCAUAUAUUUUUAUUUUUAGUUUGUACCAAUUUUUAAUUUGCAAAUAUUUUUUUAAUUUGUACCAAUUUUCUUUUCAUUUUUAAUUUGUACCCAUAUAUUAGUUUCUUUUUGUGCCCAUAUUUUUUAAAGUUUUAUUUGUGUUUGUACCCAUGUGUAUACCAUCACUUGACAUUGUAUAUUUAAUCAAUGAUAGAAAAAUUACAUAUGGUAUAUUUAUGUUUUAUGCCUAAACUUUGUACCAUAUAUUUAUAUUUUUAGUUUGUACCCACUUUUAAUUUGCAACAUUUUUUUUUUAAAAUUUGUAGUAUUUUCUUUUUAGUUUUAUUUUGUACCCAUUUAUUAAUUUCUUUUAGCACCUAUAUUUUUAAAAAUUCAUUUGUACUCAUAAUUUUUAAUCUUUUAUUUGUACCCUAAUUUAUUUAUGAUGUACCCAUUCUUCUUUAGUAAUGUACCACUUUGUUAUAUGUGAAAUGUACCAAUUUUUUUGUAAAAUGUACCAAUUUUUUUAACACUAUGGAUACAUUCUUUUGCCAUUUAUUAUUUCUUAUUUUUACAUAGUUUUUAUCCAUUUAUUCAAUUAAAAUGUUUGAAUUUUUUUUAUUAUAACCGUUUCUAAUAGUAUUAUAAUGAAGGAUUUUAAAUUUAUAGGAUUAUAAAUCUCAUAAAAUAUCAAACAAUUAAUUGCAAAACUAUAAGAAUAUAAAUAUUAAUAGUAAUAUAAUGAGGUGUACAAAGUCAAGGGACCUUGAUCAAACUUUGAAUACUAUUAAGGUUUUAAUCAAAGAAUGUUAAAGAUUAGGGACCGCAAUCAAAUUAUCCCAUCAAAAUAAGUAUGAAUUGGAUUUCAAUUAAAUUAAAUAUCUCAUCUUGCAUUCUACAUAUACAAAAUAAUGAAAAUAAAAACUUACUUGAAUUGUGAAAUUUCACAAUAACAAUGAGCAAAUACAAAGAGCAAAGCUGGUGGAGCAAGGGAGGAGAUGGAGUUGGAGGCACCUUAAUGGCGGCAGCAGGGGAGGAGAUGGAGUUGUGGGUUUGGGGGGGAUUGAGUUUGGAACUUAGGGUUGGAGGAGGAGAAAACAAAAGAAAUUUGGGGGGUUUUGGAAUGAAAGGCUUCGAAUCUGUGUGAAAUAGGGCUGAAAAGGACACGGUCGGUAUUUUUUUUUUGUUCAGACCUACCCAGGACACGCUGGGCAUUUUUUUUUUUGUUCAGAUCAUUUAAAAAAAAUUCCUGGGCCAAAACGACGUCGUUUUGCCCAGGUUUUAAAAAAAAACAGGCGCGCGCCUGCGCCUUCGUCUUCCUCUUGCCCAGCCGAGAGUUCUUUCGGACCUUUCGUCGAACACUUGGUGUGCAGCCAAGGGGUCGCACCAGCAGCUCCAAAGGGUCUCUAAGGUUGUUUCCAUGGCUUCCAAGAGGUCGUGCGACCCCAUUGACCCCACUGUGGAUCCGCCACUGGGUGUACAAAAUUCGUGGUCGAAGGCACCAACUUCAACUCCCGCAAAGAUUUCGUCCCUGGCGAGGUACUUGGAUUAUUUAUUCUUGGAAAAAUUAGUAUCCGGUCCCUAGUUUUUACUGUUCAUUGACUAAGACCUUAUUAGUUCUCAAAUUUUGAUUCAAGUCCCUAGCAUUAAUGUGAUAAUGAAUUUACAUGUUUAUUAUAUAAUUUUUUAAUAUAAAAAUUAGUAAUUAAUUUAGGGUUUAAUACUCACACCUCUAUUAAACUUCUAAUAAAUUUUCAAUUCAAACAUUUCCAAAAUAAUAAAAAAUUAAAUUAAAUUAAGUUUGUACCUAUUAGUUUUUUUAUAUAUAUAAAAAGAUUCUCAAUUUUUUAAUCUUAAAUGUACCCAUUCAUAUAAUUUUUCAAUUUUUUAAAUCUUAAAUGUACCCAUUCUCAAAUAUAUCAAUUUGUUAUAUGUAAAAUGUACCUUUUUUUUUAAUAUAAAAUCCAUUCAAAUUUUUUAAUUCAUGUUUAAACUCAUAUGGGUACAUUCUUUUUCGUUGAUUUGAGAAUGUAUCCAUGUUUUGGUACAAUAACUUUUUUUGUUAAUUUUGGUUAAUGUACCCAUACAUAUAUGUAUACACACACACACACAAUAUAAUAGAGAGUAUAAUAUUUAUUAUUUUUAAUCCCAUAAAUUAUGGGUUUUAUUUAAAAUCUCAUUAAUAUAAACAAUUACAAAUUUCAAUUUUGAAUUUUGAAUUAAAAAAAUAUAGUAACUUACAUUAUUACAUUAAUGUCAGGGAUCUCAAUAAAAAACCAAAAACUAACAAAGUUUCAAUCAAAGAAUGUUGAUAGCUAGGGACCACAUCCAAAGUGUCCCUUUAUUAUUCUUUAAUCUUGUUCGUCUUUUGGUUUUAGUUUUAACAUAAUACCUAAUAUGGAUAUCUCUCUCUAGGUUUUGUUUUACUUUUACAAGAAUAAAGGAGCUAGGGUUUUCUAUUUACGCAUUAUGUUUAGGGUUUAAGGUUACCGUUAAAAAAUAGAAAAUUUAGCACAAGUAUCAUCUGAACUAUUCCAGGAGUGUGCAUUUACUAUCAAACAAUUUUUUUUGACAAGCUACAACCAAUACUUCCUUUUGAGUGCUAUUUUACUUUCUUAUUUGCUAGCACAUGAUCUCUGGCAAUCCAAAGCCUAUAAAACCACUUUCACAUGAUCAUAAAUAUAUGUAGUUGACCUACCACCAAAAAGUAAAGACGAAUAAUUGAUCAGCAUAUAAAUGUUUCUCAAAUACUGUCUCUCUCAAAGUCUGAAAGAACAGACAACAAUAGUCUUUGUCCGACUGAUGAUAAUAUGAUCAUCUGAACAUACUAUGGACUGCAUACUAGAAAACAGAGAAGGAAGCUUCCCUAGUCACUCUCAUUUUCAAGCUUUUUUGUGUUACUCGACCUUUCCCUCGCGGUGAAUGAACAGAUGAAUCGAAAGAUAUACUCACGCGUGGAGAUCAUGGCUAGAGGAAAUGAAAGUGAGGCUGAAACUUGAAUGAAGAGAAAUGAAAGAAUAAGUUGUUAUCGUUGAAAAUGAAUUUUACAUUGAUGGGAGGAGGAACUUUGCAUAGACUUUUAUGGUAGAACCUCAACUUUUUCAUGAUACUAGAACAUGUUGUCCCACGUGUGAAGCCCAAUGGCCACACGAGUUUCACGUCAUCCCGUUUGUGUUUGUCCACGUGUUAGGUUUGAAAUUUGCCACACAUAAGGAGGCGUAUUGAGAAUGAAUAUCAUAUUGAUAGGAAAAUGGACCCUGCAUAUGAGCUUAUAAGUAAGUUUGUCUAUUCAUUAUAUUGCCAAUUAGUUUUAUGGUGUAACUCCAACUUUUUUCAGUUAUUCCAAAAUAAAAUCAAAUGUACAUGGCCUCACAGGAAGGAUUGAUGCCCUACUCAUACACAUGUUGACAUUUCCUGAUCCCGUGUGAGAUACUUGGAGAAGAAUCAUCAAGGCCUUGCCCAAUAUGUGUUUUAUGUCACUUUUACCAACAAAAUACGUAUCACUAAGAGAUAUGAGUUUUGAUGGUCUUAUUUUCAGUCCCACACGUUAUCUUUCGAAAUUGAGGGCAGCUGGAAUAAUUGAUCACUAGCCACCAACCAAUUUUAAGAAAACUAAAGGAAAAGAAGUAAAAAGGCCAAAAGAAGAGGACCAUACAUAUUAAUUAUACCCUACCUUAGUGAUUGUGUUUGAUUGAACAUUAUUGCUCUUAAAAUGGCAAUUUUAUCCUCUCGAUCGAUAGAAACCACAAAGUUGGAUAGCUACAAUGUGUGUUCCACGAGGCAAUUAUGAGUUUUAAAUUUUAUUUUUUGUGAUUAUCUCGACGUAAGGAUUUUAAAACUAGAAAACAUUAAACUUACUGCAAAUUAUAAUACCAUUUAAAUCCCUAGAUUUAGGAUUGCUCCAGCUAAAUCGACCUCUAAGUUAUGAUUAUUAUUUGAGCAGUAGAUUACACCGAACUUUAGAGACCAACUUCUAGAGGUUGAUAUGUAUUAUUUUUACGUGUCGUGAUCGGAUUAUACUAAUAGAAAAAUAAGCACGUUAAAUAGUAAUAAUUCAAUCAUCAUCAUGUCAUAUAAUUUAAAUUGAUAAUCUAUUUAGCAUUAUCUUAAAAAAUGCUCCAAUACUACCUGUAGGAAUAGGAUCCUCUCUGGAUCUUUUUUUGUGGGAAUCAGAAUGAUAAAUCAAUCGUGUCCAUUUAUCGUAUAUCGUUCGUUUAUAGUUAUUAAUAAAAACUGACCGCACAAUAUUAAUUGAUUCCUUAAUUCCCACAAAAAUGAUCGGAAAGGAUCCUUGUCCCUACCUGUAAGCUUAAUCUUCAGUGAAAAAAUGAAUUUGGGUCUGCCACGUGUACAGACAGAUCAUUUCGAGGUCAAGAAAACAAUAUAAAAAUCAAACUAAUUGUGAACAAGCUUCUCCAUCCUUCCACCGAACCAUUCCUGAGUGUUCAUUGUUUUUUGACAUUGACAUGUUUCAUACCACAUGGUUUAUAGUACAAUCAUUCAGAUGAUAGCCUGGCUGGACCUUGCAUUAUUAUCAAGUUCAAUGGUUGUGGCAAUUUGUAGUCCCUUUCUGCACACGUGGCCUCUUUGCCCACACUAAAUUUGAAUGAGAGGUCAUCUAUUAGAAAAUGUCACACUUUGCCAUGUUCUUGGAUAAAAAUUUUGCUAACUCUUAGCGAAUAAAUGACAAUAAGUAGCAAUGUCCAAUUUAAUUAGCAAUAUCAAAAUGAAAGCCAAACUUGUUUACUACUACUUUAGUGAUGAAUGAGUCAAAAACUUCUAACACACAAGUUAUAUUAUUCAAAGCUCAUACAAAUAUGAUCUACAAUACUUACGUGUGACAUUAUAUAUAAAAAGAAAGAUAAAUUGCUUCCAAAAAAAAAAAAUUAAAAGAUAAAUUUAUCUACCAUGUUAUAUGUUUUAAGAAACGAUAUUUUAAAACACUUUAAUUUAAAAAAUUUAUUUGUAUUAGAGUGUGUAUCAGUAACAUGAACCAUUUGUAAGUCUAAAUGGCAUUACUCUAUAAAAACAAAAAGACUCAAACUCAAAGACAAAAAGACGGACACACUAUAUCGGCCCACCAAUUAACCUUACUUCCUUGUAUGCAUAACUAGAUAGAAAAGCCUUACUUCUUUGUAUACAAAACCAAAUAUAAAAGCACCAUUUCCUCGCAUUAUAUAACCAAGUGAUUUCCGUCAUCCAAUCCAACAUCAAUAGCAUGGAUAAUCAUCCAAUAUCCGAAGACCCCAAAACUCCACUUCUCCCUCUCCACGAUCAAAUCCAACGGUCGCAGAGCUUCCAUUCAUCCUUGAAAUCAAUUCUAACACUCAAGAACUUCUUCGUCCUCCUCGGACCUCUUCUGUGCACCAUUAUAUGCCUCUGUGUGAAGCUAGAUGGCCCGGUGGCCAGCCGGAACAUGUUGGCGGUGCUGGUGUGGGUGUUUGCUUGGUGGCUCACGGAGGCCGUGCCCAUGCCAAUUACCUCCAUGUCCCCACUCUUUCUCUUCCCUCUCUUCGGAAUUGCCUCUGCAGAUGAUGUUGCCCACUCUUACAUGGAUGAUGUUAUUGCCCUUCUUCUUGGAAGCUUUAUAUUGGCUCUUGCUGUUGAGCAUUACAACAUCCACAGAAGAUUGGCCUUGAAUGUGAGUUUCUCUAGCUACUAUGUUUCUCUGCUAAGAUGGAUCACCUUAAUGGUUAUUUAUGCUAUGAUUGUUAUGCUUAAUGGUUAUUUUAGUACAAGCGCACAGAUACAUGAGAAAAAGAAAGAAAGGGACCAAAUGGCAAACAUUUUACUUCUCUCUUCAUUCACAAUUUCCCUCUGUUAUGUUUGCAUUCCUUGUUUGGUAGAAAGCUAUUGCAGCCAUAUUAUAUUACAUAUAAUAAUUUUAAAUUUGGUUUGUCCGGAAAUUCAUUGGAUUAGAUUUGAGAAAUCUGUCAUUUACUAGUUAGUUCACUAACUAAUCCCAUAGAUAUAAUAAUAAGGAGUUUUAACGAAAAGUCCGUAAUACUGUUCAUUUUAACGAAAAACUACAUUUUUACAUUAAAAUGUCAAUUAUGAUACUAUUUACUUUACCCAUUAUUUUGUUUUUAUUGUUCAAACUCAAAGUUUUAAAGUUAUUUUCAUUAAUUUUCUUUAUAUAAUAUCCUAUCGAAAUUCUAAAUAUUGCAAAAAAUAUAUCUGACUAUUUUUUCUUCCUAAAUUAAUGCACUUUUGUCCAAGAAUACGGAAAUGCAAGAGAGGAGCGUCAAUGACGCUUCCCUAAUCCAUGGUAAAUGUAACGUUAGAAAGGAAACGUGAAUUUGAAUUCUCAUACAUUUCAUUCCAAAAUCAACAAGAAUCAAAUGGAUAGUCCUCCCUCCAAUGACCCCAAAAUCCCACUUCUCCCACUUGAUGAUCCAAAUCCAAACCAUAACUCACAAAUCAACUACCCUUCUUCACUGGAAUCCAUUCUAACAUCCAAGAACUUGUCCAUCCUCCUGGGUCCUCUUUUGAGCACCGUUAUUUGCCUCUGUGUCAACUUAGAUGGCACCAUCGCUAGCCGGAAUAUGUUGGCAGUGCUUGCCUGGGUGUUUGCUUGGUGGCUCACAGAGGCCGUGCCGAUGCCAGUUACCUCAAUGGCCCCUCUCUUCCUCUUCCCGCUCUUCGGAAUUACCUCUGCAGAUGAUGUUGCCCACUCUUACAUGAACGAUGUUAUUGCCCUUGUUCUUGGAAGCUUUAUUUUGGCUCUCGCCGUUGAGCAGUAUAACAUACACAAAAGAUUGGCCUUGAAUGUGAGUCCUCUUUUCAUUGUUGUUUUCUCAUAUUAACCCAUUUAUGUGAUACAUCGUUCACAGAAUAUUAUUGACGUCAAUAAAGCAAACAUAAAUAUAUUUUCGACAACAUUAAUAUAUGUCACAACUUGAGAAUUGAGUGCCUUAGUGUCUGAACCCUACUAGGGUGAGAGCCACAUUGUGCUCGAACCCUGUCGCACACUAUCCGCUUAGGGUUUUCAAAAUAAUUUUGUUUUGGGAUUCAAGCGAUACUAAUGAAGAAGAAUCGAACUUUGGACUUCAAGUACAAAAAUAAUUUAUGGUAAUGCUAAAGAGACAAUUUAUUUAAGCUAAAUUUUGGAGGCUAUAUGGUGUGGUUGUUGAUGAUUGAGAGAAAAAUUUUAAUGUGCCGGAAAUACGACUCGGUACACCAAGUGUUAUAAUAAAAUUGGUUGGAUUUUCUUUUUUCAAGUUUCCAACAAAGUGUAUUAUUACACUUGGUUUGUUGGGCAGUGUUUGCAGCACACAGAAAAAUCUCUCGACGUUUGAUUAUUACUUAAAAAGUAAUGCUAUGGAAACUCAAUUUGUAAACUAAAUUAGCAAAUCAAAUGAUCUAUCACUAAUAAAAAUGAGUUAUCAAUAAUUAAGUAAUAAUUCAAUCAUCAACUUACAUGUCAUUUAAUUUACAAAAUUUAGUCUACAAAUUGUUCUUACUUAAAUAUUGAUUCACGUAUUGGUGGAACACUUACAAAUUGGACAAGUUGAUUUACCUAGUAUUACUAGUUAACCCUUUUUUUAUCCCGAACACAGAUAACCCUGGUGUUCUGCGGAGAUCCCUUGAAUCCGCCAUUGCUGCUGCUGGGAAUAUGUGGGACCGCAGCAUUCAUCAGCAUGUGGAUGCACAACGUGGCAACUGCGGUGAUGAUGAUGCCCGUAGCCACCGGCAUUCUCCGGCGGUUUCCAACGGGUCCCGACCAGUCCGUGGUUGCGAGCAACUUUUGCAAAGCCGUGAUUCUGGGGAUGUUGUACUCCAUAACCAUAGGAGGGAUGAGCACUCUGACGGGGACAGGUGUCAAUCUCAUAUUGGUUGGAAUGUGGAAGAGCUAUUUCCCACAAGCAGCUCCGAUCACCUUCAGCACCUGGUUCUGUUUCGCCUUCCCUUCGGCAUUGUUGAUGUUCUUGGCGCUGUGGGCUUUGCUUUGCUACUUGUAUUGCUCAAGGAGUUCAGGCCAGGCUCUCUCUGUUUAUUUAGACAAAGCCCAUUUGAAGAAGGAGCUCGAAUUG
This 18991-nucleotide long non-coding RNA is filed under the name Malus domestica (apple). RNAcentral's name for it is "long non-coding RNA (MDOM_LNC009777)". Lineage: Eukaryota; Viridiplantae; Streptophyta; Magnoliopsida; Rosales; Rosaceae. The record is from RNAcentral.